AGUGAACGCUGGCGGUAGGCCUAACACAUGCAAGUCGAACGGCAGCACAGUAAGAGCUUGCUCUUACGGGUGGCGAGUGGCGGACGGGUGAGGAAUACAUCGGAAUCUACUUUUUCGUGGGGGAUAACGUAGGGAAACUUACGCUAAUAUCGCAUACGACCUACGGGUGAAAUCAGGGGAUCUUCGGACCUUGCGCGAUUCAAUGAGCCGAUGUCGGAUUAGCUAGUUGGCGGGGUAAAGGCCCACCAAGGCGACGAUCCGUAGCUGGUCUGAGAGGAUGAUCAGCCACACUGGAACUGAGACACGGUCCAGACUCCUACGGGAGGCAGCAGUGGGGAAUAUUGGACAAUGGGCGCAAGCCUGAUCCAGCCAUACCGCGUGGGUGAAGAAGGUCUUCGGGUUGUAAAGCCCUUUUGUUGGGGAAGAAAAGCAGCAGGUGAAUACCCCGCUGUUCUGACGGUACCCAAAGAAUAAGCAACGGCUAACUUCGUG
This 492-nucleotide ribosomal RNA is filed under the name uncultured bacterium. RNAcentral describes it as "partial 16S ribosomal RNA". It matches the Rfam family "Bacterial small subunit ribosomal RNA", at positions 29 to 507 of the family's 1533-position model. The record is from RNAcentral.